Molecule: ribosomal RNA, 253 nt
Filed under: uncultured bacterium
Lineage: Bacteria
Description: partial 16S ribosomal RNA
Rfam family: Bacterial small subunit ribosomal RNA
Source: RNAcentral
UACGUAGGUGGCGAGCGUUGUCCGGAUUUACUGGGCGUAAAGAGCGCGCAGGCGGCUGGUCAAGUCCGAUGUGAAAGCUCCCGGCUUAACUGGGAAAUUGCAUCGGAAACUGAUCGGCUGGAAGGUGGGAGAGGGUAGCGGAAUUCCCGGUGUAGUGGUGAAAUGCGUAGAUAUCUGGAGGAACACCGGUGGCGAAGGCGGCAUCCUGGACCGGUAUUGACGCUGAGGCGCGAAAGCGUGGGGAGCAAACAGG